AUUGAACGCUGGCGGCAGGCUUAACACAUGCAAGUCGAGCGGGGUGAUGGUGCUUGCACUAUCACUUAGCGGCGGACGGGUGAGUAAUGCUUAGGAAUCUGCCUAUUAGUGGGGGACAACAUCUCGAAAGGGAUGCUAAUACCGCAUACGUCCUACGGGAGAAAGCAGGGGAUCACUUGUGACCUUGCGCUAAUAGAUGAGCCUAAGUCGGAUUAGCUAGUUGGUGGGGGUAAAGGCCUACCAAGGCGACGAUCUGUAGCGGGUCUGAGAGGAUGAUCCGCCACACUGGGACUGAGACACGGCCCAGACUCCUACGGGAGGCAGCAGUGGGGAAUAUUGGACAAUGGGGGGAACCCUGAUCCGGCCAUGCCGCGUGUGUGAAGAAGGCCUUAUGGUUGUAAAGCACUUUAAGCGAGGAGGAGGCUCUUUUGGUUAAUACCCAAGACGAGUGGACGUUACUCGCAGAAUAAGCACCGGCUAACUCUGUGCCAGCCGCCGCCGUAA
RNAcentral lists this ribosomal RNA (504 nucleotides) under uncultured bacterium. Its description in RNAcentral is "partial 16S ribosomal RNA". It matches the Rfam family "Bacterial small subunit ribosomal RNA", at positions 30 to 523 of the family's 1533-position model. The record is from RNAcentral.